GCGCGAUACAGGGUGACAGCCCCGUACACAAAAGCGCAUGUGCUGUGAGCUCGAUGAGUAGGGCGGGACACGUGGUAUCCUGUCUGAAUAUGGGGGGACCAUCCUCCAAGGCUAAAUACUCCUGACUGACCGAUAGUGAACCAGUACCGUGAGGGAAAGGCGAAAAGAACCCCGGCGAGGGGAGUGAAAAAGAACCUGAAACCGUGUACGUACAAGCAGUGGGAGCACAGGUUUACCUGUGUGACUGCGUACCUUUUGUAUAAUGGGUCAGCGACUUAUAUUCUGUAGCAAGGUUAACCGUAUAGGGGAGCCGUAGGGAAACCGAGUCUUAACCGGGCGUUAAGUUGCAGGGUAUAGACCCGAAACCCGGUGAUCUAGCCAUGGGCAGGUUGAAGGUUGGGUAACACUAACUGGAGGACCGAACCGACUAAUGUUGAAAAAUUAGCGGAUGACCUGUGGCUGGGGGUGAAAGGCCAAUCAAACCGGGAGAUAGCUGGUUCUCCCCGAAAGCUAUUUAGGUAGCGCCUCGUGAAUUCAUCUCCGGGGGUAGAGCACUGUUUCGGCUAGGGGGCCAUCCCGGCUUACCAACCCGAUGCAAACUGCGAAUACCGGAGAAUGUUAUCACGGGAGACACACGGCGGGUGCUAACGUCCGUCGUGAAGAGGGAAACAACCCAGACCGCCAGCUAAGGUCCCAAAGUCAUGGUUAAGUGGGAAACGAUGUGGGAAGGCCCAGACAGCCAGGAUGUUGGCUUAGAAGCAGCCAUCAUUUAAAGAAAGCGUAAUAGCUCACUGGUCGAGUCGGCCUGCGCGGAAGAUGUAACGGGGCUAAACCAUGCACCGAAGCUGCGGCAGCGAACGUAUCACCCAAGACAACUUUACGGAGUUGACGAUUGACGGAGCGAAGCGACGUCAAAGCGUUCAUUAAAGUCGAGUUGGCUUAGGGAUACGUUCGUUGGGUAGGGGAGCGUUCUGUAAGCCUGUGAAGGUGUGUCGUGAGGCAUGCUGGAGGUAUCAGAAGUGCGAAUGCUGACAUAAGUAACGAUAAAGCGGGUGAAAAGCCCGCUCGCCGGAAGACCAAGGGUUCCUGUCCAACGUUAAUCGGGGCAGGGUGAGUCGACCCCUAAGGCGAGGCCGAAAGGCGUAGUCGAUGGGAAACGGGUUAAUAUUCCCGUACUUGGUGUUACUGCGAAGGGGGGACGGAGAAGGCUAUGUUGGCCGGGCGACGGUUGUCCCGGUUUAAGCGUGUAGGUGUGUGUUCCAGGUAAAUCCGGUUCACUUUAACACUGAGGCGUGACGACGAGGCACUACGGUGCUGAAGCAACAAAUGCCCUGCUUCCAGGAAAAGCCUCUAAGCAUCAGGUAACAC
This 1368-nucleotide ribosomal RNA is filed under the name Salmonella enterica subsp. enterica serovar Typhimurium. RNAcentral's name for it is "partial 23S ribosomal RNA". It matches the Rfam family "Bacterial large subunit ribosomal RNA", at positions 352 to 1637 of the family's 2925-position model. Lineage: Bacteria; Pseudomonadati; Pseudomonadota; Gammaproteobacteria; Enterobacterales; Enterobacteriaceae. The record is from RNAcentral.